RNAcentral lists this ribosomal RNA (253 nucleotides) under uncultured bacterium. Its description in RNAcentral is "partial 16S ribosomal RNA". It matches the Rfam family "Bacterial small subunit ribosomal RNA", at positions 524 to 776 of the family's 1533-position model. The record is from RNAcentral.
GACGUAGGGCGCGAGCGUUGUCCGGAUUUAUUGGGCGUAAAGAGCUCGUAGGCGGCUUGUCGCGUCGUCCGUGAAAACUUGGGGCUCAACCCCAAGCUUGCGGUCGAUACGGGCAGGCUCGAGUUCGGUAGGGGAGACUGGAAUUCCUGGUGUAGCGGUGAAAUGCGCAGAUAUCAGGAAGAACACCAAUGGCGAAAGCAGCUUUCUGGGACGGUACUGACGCUGAGACGCGAAAGCGUGGGGAGCGAACAGG